This 498-nucleotide ribosomal RNA is filed under the name uncultured bacterium. RNAcentral's name for it is "partial 16S ribosomal RNA". It matches the Rfam family "Bacterial small subunit ribosomal RNA", at positions 30 to 523 of the family's 1533-position model. The record is from RNAcentral.
AUUGAACGCUGGCGGCAUGCCUUACACAUGCAAGUCGAACGGUAACAGGUCUUCGGAUGCUGACGAGUGGCGAACGGGUGAGUAAUACAUCGGAACGUGCCUAGUAGUGGGGGAUAACUACUCGAAGGAGUGGCUAAUACCGCAUGAGAUCUACGGAUGAAAGCAGGGGAUCACAAGACCUUGUGCUACUAGAGCGGCCGAUGGCAGAUUAGGUAGUUGGUGGGAUAAAAGCUUACCAAGCCGACGAUCUGUAGCUGGUCUGAGAGGACGAUCAGCCACACUGGGACUGAGACACGGCCCCGACUCCUACGGGAGGCAGCAGUGGGGAAUUUUGGACAAUGGGCGAAAGCCUGAUCCAGCAAUGCCGCGUGCAGGAUGAAGGCCUUCGGGUUGUAAACUGCUUUUGUACGGAACGAAAAGCCCCGGGUUAAUACCCUGGGGUCAUGACGGUACCGUAAGAAUAAGCACCGGCUAACUACGUGCCAGCAGCCGCCGUAA